AUAGGUUCAAUCCUUGCUAGAGUGGAGUGCCCUCGGCCCUGAGCCACAACGGCGGAAGCAACGAGAGCCGAGAGGGAACGUCAACGGCGACGGCGGCAAGUGGUGUAUGGAGCCACCAGACCCAGGGGCCACGAAAUUACAGGGAACUGACUACCAGAUCUCACGGCUACAUGCAAUGCAAUCCUAGUUUCUGAUGCGUACAUCUAGUUAUCAAGGCAUCAUACAAUGCUUUCUCACGUUGGGCUGGAAAGUGGUCGUGUUAGCCCACGAAUAAUAAAAUAAAUCAAAAAGACAUGCGAGUACAAGCUCCUGGUAAGCAAAACACAUAGAGGAGGCAAGGCGAUGGGGGAUGUCCAACCCCUGCUCGCACCCCCCUGUCUCCGCCUCUGCGUCCAUCGCGUUCUGGUGCUUGGGAAACAACAGAUCUGGGAUUUAAGAGGGGAUGUGGUGAGGAGGAGAAGGAAGGAGGGAUGUGACGAGGGAAGAGAUGGGAUCUGACUCACCGGAGCAACGUUGGAGCCACGCCGACGACGCGCUGGCCCAAACCCUAGUGGAUGCGAGAGUCACGCCUGGUCACAGGAGGACGCGCCCACCGGAUCCGGUCAAAGGAGAUGGAGGAGACGAUCGAGGGGAUCAUGUGGGGGUGCUGGGUGCUGCCUCCGGCCCC
RNAcentral lists this long non-coding RNA (667 nucleotides) under Hordeum vulgare. RNAcentral describes it as "long non-coding RNA (HVUL_LNC014902)". Lineage: Eukaryota; Viridiplantae; Streptophyta; Magnoliopsida; Poales; Poaceae. The record is from RNAcentral.